AACAGGAUUAGAUACCCUGGUAGUCCACGCUGUAAACGAUGUCGACUUGGAGGUUGUGCCCUUGAGGCGUGGCUUCCGGAGCUAACGCGUUAAGUCGACCGCCUGGGGAGUACGGCCGCAAGGUUAAAACUCAAAUGAAUUGACGGGGGCCCGCACAAGCGGUGGAGCAUGUGGUUUAAUUCGAUGCAACGCGAAGAACCUUACCUACUCUUGACAUCCAGAGAACUUAGCAGAGAUGCUUUGGUGCCUUCGGGAACUCUGAGACAGGUGCUGCAUGGCUGUCGUCAGCUCGUGUUGUGAAAUGUUGGGUUAAGUCCCGCAACGAGCGCAACCCUUAUCCUUUGUUGCCAGCGGUCCGGCCGGGAACUCAAAGGAGACUGCCAGUGAUAAACUGGAGGAAGGUGGGGAUGACGUCAAGUCAUCAUGGCCCUUACGAGUAGGGCUACACACGUGCUACAAUGGCAUAUACAAAGAGAAGCGACCUCGCGAGAGCAAGCGGACCUCAUAAAGUAUGUCGUAGUCCGGAUCGGAGUCUGCAACUCGACUCCGUGAAGUCGGAAUCGCUAGUAAUCGUGGAUCAGAAUGCCACGGUGAAUACGUUCCCGGGCCUUGUACACACCGCCCGUCACACCAUGGGAGUGGGUUGCAAAAGAAGUAGGUAGCUUAACCUUCGGGAGGGCGCUUACCACUUUGUGAUUCAUGACUGGGGUGAAGUCGUAACAAGGUAACC
RNAcentral lists this ribosomal RNA (730 nucleotides) under uncultured bacterium. RNAcentral describes it as "bacterial SSU rRNA". It matches the Rfam family "Bacterial small subunit ribosomal RNA", at positions 771 to 1501 of the family's 1533-position model. The record is from RNAcentral.